GUAAUAGCUCACUGGUCGAGUCGGCCUGCGCGGAAGAUGUAACGGGGCUAAACCAUGCACCGAAGCUGCGGCAGCGACACUCAUGUGUUGUUGGGUAGGGGAGCGUUCUGUAAGCCUGUGAAGGUGUGUCGUGAGGCAUGCUGGAGGUAUCAGAAGUGCGAAUGCUGACAUAAGUAACGAUAAAGCGGGUGAAAAGCCCGCUCGCCGGAAGACCAAGGGUUCCUGUCCAACGUUAAUCGGGGCAGGGUGAGUCGACCCCUAAGGCGAGGCCGAAAGGCGUAGUCGAUGGGAAACGGGUUAAUAUUCCCGUACUUGGUGUUACUGCGAAGGGGGGACGGAGAAGGCUAUGUUGGCCGGGCGACGGUUGUCCCGGUUUAAGCGUGUAGGUGUGUGUUCCAGGUAAAUCCGGUUCACUUUAACACUGAGGCGUGA
This 432-nucleotide ribosomal RNA is filed under the name Salmonella enterica subsp. enterica serovar Goldcoast. RNAcentral's name for it is "partial 23S ribosomal RNA". It matches the Rfam family "Bacterial large subunit ribosomal RNA", at positions 1134 to 1566 of the family's 2925-position model. The record is from RNAcentral. Lineage: Bacteria; Pseudomonadati; Pseudomonadota; Gammaproteobacteria; Enterobacterales; Enterobacteriaceae.